AGAGCAGGUUGCACAGGACUGCUGCAUCCAGGAGGAAAUUACUACUGUCAACAACCAAAACUCCUUCGCACUUGUUUCUCUUCCUUUCCAGAGGCUGGUGCUUGAAUUACUGUAACUAUGGAAUUUAGUUUAUAAGCAGAGGGUGGGAAACAGGAAUUCAACUAAUCAUUACGUAGAUCUGCAAUGAACUCCCAGUCACUCUGGACCUAUGGAAUUGUCUUCCUUUCUUUAAAGAAGAAACUGAAGAAAGCCCAACCUUCCAAAAGCUACAUGGAACUUUUUAACACUGAAAUGGAACUACUAUCCAGACGUGCAAUUAUUGCAAUACUAUCCAGCUCUGCACAUCUCCAGAGGGUUUGCCUCUAAAAGUCUGAGCAAAGGCACAAUUCAUCAGGCUGUACUGAUUCACACCAAGGCCCCCCUACUCUAAUAUUUGGAUUCAUUUGUGGACACAUCUAUGGAGGAAUGAUCACAGGGUAAGA
Passer domesticus (house sparrow) is the source of this 482-nucleotide long non-coding RNA. RefSeq lists it as uncharacterized. The record is from RefSeq and is a predicted model, not a curated record. Lineage: Eukaryota; Metazoa; Chordata; Aves; Passeriformes; Passeridae. The transcript has 3 exons.